AAACCGCCGAUGGCCCGCGUAAGCGGGAUCAGGUAAGGGUGAAAGGGUGCGGUAAGAGCGCACCGCGCGGCUGGUAACAGUCCGUGGCACGGUAAACUCCACCCGGAGCAAGGCCAAAUAGGGGUUCAUAAGGUACGGCCCGUACUGAACCCGGGUAGGCUGCUUGAGCCAGUGAGCGAUUGCUGGCCUAGAUGAAUGACUGUCCACGACAGAACCCGGCUUAUCGGUCAGUUUCACCU
This 239-nucleotide RNase P RNA is filed under the name Escherichia coli. Its description in RNAcentral is "partial RNase P RNA component class A". It matches the Rfam family "Bacterial RNase P class A", at positions 123 to 367 of the family's 367-position model. From Rfam's summary of the family: Ribonuclease P (RNase P) is a ubiquitous endoribonuclease, found in archaea, bacteria and eukarya as well as chloroplasts and mitochondria. Its best characterised activity is the generation of mature 5'-ends of tRNAs by cleaving the 5'-leader elements of precursor-tRNAs. Lineage: Bacteria; Pseudomonadati; Pseudomonadota; Gammaproteobacteria; Enterobacterales; Enterobacteriaceae. The record is from RNAcentral.